GGCCAUUCCCACCUCUCUAGAGAGGAAGAGUGGGGCUGAUGCUGGGAGCAGCACGAGGGAAGCACCUCCCUACGCUCAGCGGGCUUCGGCAGUGAGAACCGGGUCGUGCGCGGCACUGGCGAGGAAGUGGGACCCUCACGCGAGGAAUCCAGCCCCCUCGAACCGUCAGGUCGCUGGGCUGGGGCUCGUGCCAAAGCCACAGCCCUGGGAGCCUGCGCCCUAGAACACUGUCCGGCCACCUGCCACCCUCCACAUAAGUCCCCCUCCUGAGAGGUGACUGCCCCGGCACUGUCCUGCACCGGGGACCUUGGCUUCCCGGCAGGUUUCUCCGGAAGUCCCAAGGCAGUUCACUGGGAGUCAGCCUCAGGGACUGCUCCCUGCUCAGCACCCUGGGCUGGAGCCUCCAUCCUGGGUCUGGCCUUCGAUUCAGAACCCUAACAGCAAGAUCUGGAAGCGCCAAAGAGAAAUGGAGAGACUGGCAGUUCCCAGGAGGGGACAAGGGUGCCAGAAGUCAUGCAAGAAAACCCCCGCAGCCGAGGAACCUGGGACGGCUUGGACAGAUUUCCUAGAGUCUUGAGAGCUGUUAAAAGGUGAGAGACAUAGAGGAAUUUCAGCAGGAACUGAAGGCGACCGGCUCAGUGGAUGGAGAAAUGAGGGCUCAGAAAGAAGCAGCCAGGUGUGGACCAAAUUCUUAGCCUUCAGAUCUUCAGGAAUCUGCAAAUGUGAGAGCUCAGAAUCACUGCAGGGCUUUAAAUGCAGAUCCAGAGUCACCGGGAAAGAUACUGGAAGCUCACGAACUCCCCGUGAGGUGGCUGCUCGUGUUAUUCACAACUUUACAGGUGUGGAAACUGAGGCCCAGGCAAUAAAGCCACGCAUCCCGGGCUGAA
Callorhinus ursinus (northern fur seal) is the source of this 887-nucleotide non-coding RNA. The record is from RefSeq and is a predicted model, not a curated record. NCBI's taxonomy places the organism in Eukaryota, Metazoa, Chordata, Mammalia, Carnivora, Otariidae.